CCCGUUCAAAGGUUACUGUGAACUGUGAUUUUUUUUUUAUUUUUCUGUGAACUGAACUGUGAACUUUGUUAAAUAAUUAUUGUUAGUUAAGCUGUGAACUUUGUUGUUCUUACUUGUUGCUGGAUUAAAAAAAUACUUCGAAAAAUUGAGGAAAAAAAGCUUUUUUUGCACCAAACCCUCCCCUAAAUUCGGUUUUUUAAUGCUCUGUUCAGAAAUUAUUGAAUGAUUAUUGAAUGUUUUGUGUUUUAGUUGAAUGAUUAUUUGAUUCUUGAUUAGCACCGGAUGCUCUGCUGUGUUUGUGUACUAUUUUUGAAUGAAAAUUUCUGUACUGUGUGAUUUUUUUGAGUAAUUCAACAGGUUAGAAAUAAACUUGCUGUUUAAUAAUAUUUCUUCCAUUAUAAAUCUCGGUAGUUUCAAUAGGAAGCAGAUAUAAAAAGCAGACCUUUCAAGUCUGUGCGAGUUGCUGUCCAUGUCCUGGUAAAUCGAUUGCAAGAAUAAAAAAAUCAAAAAAAUAGAAAAGAAGCAGGGUUAUGUCCAUUUGAAAGAAGUUACUUAGUUCACAUCAAGAAUGGGUUCAAGCCAUUGGUUUAAGACAAUCAUUCGAUUAAGAAAAUAAAAACAAAGCAGAUCAAAGAAAUCAAAGGUACAGCACACUUUCUUUGUGUCAAUUUUACCUUCAUUAAUAACUCAUCCUAGUCCAAGAUUUCAUUGUAUGAGAGUCAAAAUGAUUAUGUAAAACUAUGUAGUACCACCAUGCAGAGAGAUUUGAAGUUCAUGUAUGUCUUACUACCAAGAAGGCCGAUAUAAAUGUAGUACCACUAUGUAGUAUCACUUUGUUUAUUUACAUUUUAUUUAUUAUUUUAUUAUAAAACGGUUUUUACGGUUCAACCACGAUUCAACCGGUUGAACCUAUGAACCAGUAAACCAGUAGCUAGAGCGGUUCGAUGACCGGUUCAGUUUUCAGAACCUUGCAUCCAACUAU
Arachis ipaensis is the source of this 982-nucleotide non-coding RNA. NCBI's taxonomy places the organism in Eukaryota, Viridiplantae, Streptophyta, Magnoliopsida, Fabales, Fabaceae. The record is from RefSeq and is a predicted model, not a curated record.